Molecule: ribosomal RNA, 199 nt
Filed under: uncultured bacterium
Lineage: Bacteria
Description: partial 16S ribosomal RNA
Rfam family: Bacterial small subunit ribosomal RNA
Source: RNAcentral
ACGCUCGACACCUACAGGAGGCAGCAGUGGGGAAUAUUGCACAAUGGGGGAAACCCUGAUGCAGCGACGCCGCGUGAAGGAAGAAGUAUUUCGGUAUGUAAACUUCUAUCAGCAGGGAAGAAACUGACGGUACCUGACUAAGAAGCACCGGCUAAAUACGUGCCAGCAGCCGCGGUAAUCUGAGGCGGGCUGGCAAGGC